Molecule: ribosomal RNA, 402 nt
Filed under: uncultured bacterium
Lineage: Bacteria
Description: bacterial SSU rRNA
Rfam family: Bacterial small subunit ribosomal RNA
Source: RNAcentral
UGGGGAGUAUUGGACAAUGGGCGAAAGCCUGAUCCAGCCAUGCCGCAUGAGUGAAGAAGGCCUUUGGGUUGUAAAGCUCUUUUAGUGAGGAAGAUAAUGACGGUACUCACAGAAGAAGUCCUGGCUAACUCCGUGCCAGCAGCCGCGGUAAUACGGAGAGGGCUAGCGUUAUUCGGAAUUAUUGGGCGUAAAGGGCGCGUAGGCUGGUUAGUAAGUUAAAAGUGAAAUCCCGAGGCUUAACCUUGGAACUGCUUUUAAAACUGCUAACCUAGAGAUUGAAAGAGGAUAGAGGAAUUCCUAGUGUAGAGGUGAAAUUCGUAAAUAUUAGGAGGAACACCAGUGGCGAAGGCGUCUAUCUGGUUCAAAUCUGACGCUGAGGCGCGAAGGCGUGGGGAGCAAGCA